Molecule: ribosomal RNA, 576 nt
Filed under: uncultured bacterium
Lineage: Bacteria
Description: bacterial SSU rRNA
Rfam family: Bacterial small subunit ribosomal RNA
Source: RNAcentral
CCUACGGGAGGCAGCAGUAGGGAAUAUUGGGCAAUGGAGGCAACUCUGACCCAGCCAUGCCGCGUGCAGGAAGACGGUCCUCUGGAUUGUAAACUGCUUUUGAAUGGGAAGAAACGCACUUUUGCGAAAGUGUUUGACGGUACUAUUAGAAUAAGCACCGGCUAACUCCGUGCCAGCAGCCGCGGUAAUACGGAGGGUGCAAGCGUUAUCCGGAUUUAUUGGGUUUAAAGGGUGCGUAGGCGGCUUGAUAAGUCUGGGGUUAAAGGCGGCAGCUUAACUGUACGCAUGCCCUGGAAACUGUUAAGCUUGAGUGACUUGGAGGUAGCUGGAAUUCCCUGUGUAGCGGUGAAAUGCAUAGAUACGGGGAGGAAUACCGAUUGCGAAGGCAUGUUACUACGAGUAAACUGACGCUGAUGCACGAAAGCGUGGGGAUCAAACAGGAUUAGAUACCCUGGUAGUCCACGCCGUAAACGAUGAUUACUAGUUGUUGGGCGAUAGUUCAGUGACCAAGGGAAACCGAUAAGUAAUCCACCUGGGGAGUACGCCGGCAACGGUGAAACUCAAAGGAAUUGACGG